This 253-nucleotide ribosomal RNA is filed under the name uncultured bacterium. RNAcentral describes it as "partial 16S ribosomal RNA". It matches the Rfam family "Bacterial small subunit ribosomal RNA", at positions 524 to 776 of the family's 1533-position model. The record is from RNAcentral.
UACGUAGGCAGCAAGCGUUGUUCGGAGUUACUGGGCGUAAAGGGUGCGUAGGCGGCUUGGUAAGUGUGGUGUGAAAUCUCCCGGCUCAACUGGGAGGGUGCGCUACAAACUGCCGGGCUAGAGUGCGGGAGAGGAGAGUGGAAUUCCUGGUGUAGCAGUGAAAUGCGUAGAUAUCAAGAGGAACACCAGUGGCGAAGGCGAGUCCCUGGACGACACCUGACACUGAGGCACGAAAGCUAGGGGAGCAAACAGG